UUCCGGUUGAUCCCGCCGGAGGCUACUGCUAUCGGGAUUCGAUUAAGCCAUGCGAGUCGAGGGAAUUCAUAUUCCCGGCUGACGGCUCAGUAACACGUGGAUAACCUGCCCUCAGGUGGGGGAUAAUCUCGGGAACCUGAGGAUAAUACCCCAUAAGCAUCCUUUACUGAAAUGCUUGGAUGUUCAAAGUUCAAGCGCCUGAGGAUGGGUUCACGACCUAUCAGAUCAUAUUGGGUGUAACGGACCCACUAGCCUACGACGGGUGCGGGCUUUGGAAGAGGUAGCCCGGAGAUGGAUUCUGAGACACGAGUCCAGGCCUUCGGGGCGCAGCAGGCGCGAAAAUUCGCUAUUCGGGAAACCGUGACGAGGGAAUCCCGAGUGCUCAUACUAUGUAUGGGCUUUUAUUAUGUGUAAAAAGCAUGAGGAAUAGGGCGGUUAAGACCCGGGUGCCCACCCGCGGUAAUACCGGGCAGCUUCUAGUUGGUAGCCGCUAUUAUUGGGUCUAAAGGGUCCGUAGCCGGUUCGAUAAGUCUUCUGGGAAAUCUGGUUGCUUAACAAAUCAGACUGCAAGGGAUACUGUCGAACUUGAGACCGGGAGAGGUAAGAGGUACUUCAGGGGUAGGAGUGAAAUCUUGUAAUCCCUGGGGGACCAUCUGUGGCGAAGGCGUCUUACCAGAACGGGUCUGACGGGUGAGGGACGAAAGCUGGGGGCGCAAACUGGAUUAGAUACCCGGGUAGUCCCAGCCGUAAACGAUGCUCGCUAUGUGUCAGGUACGGUGUGACCGUAUUCUGGUGCCGUUAGGGAAUCCGUGAUAGCGAGCCACCUGGGAUAGUACGGUCGCAAGACUGAAAACUUUAAAUGGAAUUUGGCGGGGGAGCACUACUCGGGUGAGCUUGCGGUUUAAUUGGAUUCAACGCCGG
This 921-nucleotide ribosomal RNA is filed under the name uncultured euryarchaeote. RNAcentral describes it as "partial 16S rRNA". It matches the Rfam family "Archaeal small subunit ribosomal RNA", at positions 1 to 921 of the family's 1478-position model. The record is from RNAcentral. Lineage: Archaea; Methanobacteriati; Methanobacteriota.